CAACACAUAUGACCUUUUAUAGCAUAAAUGUAUAGCGUUCUUUUACUUAUGCUAUCAUAGAGAAGCAAGUAUAGCGUUCGGUAGUGAGAAAGGAAGGAAAACCCUCGCGCCCAAAUACAACAGCGUUUCAUUAAAAGCCUUUGUUCCGCCAAAAUUAUCGGUGCUAAGAUUAGUGCCCAAAAUCGCACACCCCCGGUGAAAAUUUCAAUCGACUUCUCAGUGGCGCUAGAACUCCCAAUCUUUUCGUGCAAACUGGUGGAAGAUUUCUCAAGUUGGGCGAAUUGGUGUUGGCCGAUAAUGGAUCGAUCGUGGUAUUCUAGGGUUAAUCGUGAGUAGUAGGUAAUCCCCCCAAUCUUUUCUACUUCGUUUAUCCCCUGCGUGUUUUCCCGACUUUGCUAGGGUUCUCCUACUACAGGUUUUCAUUCAACAAAUCAAGUGGGUUCUUCUCCUCAUCGAGAGAUUUUGCCUGAACAGGUAGUGACAUUCAGAAGCACGCCUUCCUUUGCUACUUUCAUCUUCGUGUUCCAGUGAACGGCUGGAAUUAAUACGAUAUUCUAGUUGCUGGAACAGGGAAAUUAGUUGCUGAAUUUCGUGUAGGGAAGUUGGAACGGUUAUUUUGGGGAGCCUAAAGCUGAAAUGGCAAGGAGACAAGCUUUGUUUCCUGGAGACUCUGAGUUCCAACAGCUGCUUCACGUAUUCAGGAUGAUGGGAACACCAACGGAUAAGCAGUGGCCAGGAGUCAGUUCUCUACAGGACUGGCAUGUGUAUCCCCAGUGGGAGCCUCAGAACUUGGCAUGUGCCGUUCCAGCAUUGGAACCUGAGGGUCUCGAUCUUUUAUCGAUAACGACUUAAUGCUUGAAUUUCGCUUCUUUUAGGUGCUUUAUAUCCAUAAGAAGCUGGGACUUGCUAUUCUUUUGCUUAGUAUUGUUAUAAAUUUCUUUUUUAUAUAUUAGUAUAGAUAGAUUAUAGUCAUGCCUUGAAAUAUGAAAUAUGAUGAGAUUUUUAGUAUUGUUAUAAAUUUCUGGCUAAGUGUUGAAGUGAAAGUCUCCAAUGAAAACCACUAGUUUGAUUCUUCUUUUGUGGUGACUAGUAUGAUUUUACGAGAAGCAGUUCAGUGUGUGUUUACUCUCUUUUCAUUUGAGAAGUUUUAUAUGGAAUCCCAUACUCGACUAGAAAUCCGUCAGAAUACUCUUACAUGAUUCUAGUACUGUGGUUUCUUCCAUUUUGGAAAUGAUUUUUGGAGCAGUUUAUCUCAAUUAUUUUGGUUUCUGUGUUAACUGGAUCAAAUGUGGGCUACUGCCACCUCUUAUUACUGAUGAGAUCAUCUUUGCAAUGUUGAUAAUUUCAGGAAGUACUAGCUGCCGAUGUCACAGAUCAUAUCUUUGCAAUUGUUUUCUUCGGACUUCUACUACGUGCUACAUCUUUUCGGGGAUGAUUUUUGCUGGUACAACUUCUAAUACAACUUCAACCUACGGGCAUGUUUCUCAUAUUUUGGAGGGUUUCUAGUAGCCCAUUUAUGUGGUUGGCUUUGGGAGCAGAAAGGGUAUAACCUCGGCAAAGAAGCAAGCUUCAAGUAAAGAAAAUCUGCGGAAUGAGAUGGUUGGCCAAGUGCAUGAUUACAUUUUCAGGAAAAUAGAAUUACAUUAGUUAUUUUUUAAUGAGUCCAAUUAGUUGGGCUCUUUUAUGUAGUUUUUUGUUGGGAAAUUGUUUCCCAAGCUAAUGUAAUGAAUCUUUAUUGUAUAUUGACAUUUGGAUAUAGUUGGUGUUGAAUGGAAUAAAUCAUUUUUGUUUCUUAAAUAAAAUUACCAUGAUUUUAUUUGCA
Molecule: long non-coding RNA, 1822 nt
Organism: Rhododendron vialii
Lineage: Eukaryota; Viridiplantae; Streptophyta; Magnoliopsida; Ericales; Ericaceae
Exons: 4
Source: RefSeq, a predicted model, not a curated record